RNAcentral lists this ribosomal RNA (466 nucleotides) under Euglandina rosea. RNAcentral's name for it is "partial 16S ribosomal RNA". It matches the Rfam family "Bacterial large subunit ribosomal RNA", at positions 1806 to 2610 of the family's 2925-position model. Lineage: Eukaryota; Metazoa; Mollusca; Gastropoda; Stylommatophora; Spiraxidae. The record is from RNAcentral.
AUCAAAAACAUAGCUUGAUGUAUCCAUAUUAAGUUAAUUCUGCUCGGUGAACUAAAAUUUAAACAGCCGCAGUACACUGACUGUGCUAAGGUAGCAUAAUAAAUUGGCUUAUAAUUGAAGUCUAGUAUGAACGAAAUUUAAUGGGUAGUGACUGUCUCUUUUUAAAAUUUAUUGAACUUAUUUAGGUGGUGAAAAUCCCACCAAUUUAAAAGAAAGACGAGAAGACCCUUAGAAUUUUUAUAAAAGUGGUUCAAUUAUUAUUUAUAUUAGCUGGGGCGGCUUUGUGUCAGUUAACACACAUAAAAUUAUUUUACAUAAAUUUUUUAUGAAAAAAGAUUAAUUACCUAAGGGAUAACAGCAUAAUCUUUUUUAGGUUUGUGACCUCGAUGUUGGAUUAGGGUCUGUUUUGGUUAGCCGCCAAAGUAGAAAGUUCUGUUCGAACUUGUUUUACCUACAUGAUCUGAGU